UAACGGUGUAAGGCUCUACAUCCUUCACCGUCUUUGGAUCUUCGAUUUGAGGCAAAGAUGGCUUAAAUUUCAGGUGUGCUGAUACUAGGUCAAGAAGGGUCACAGAUGCAAAUAGAAUGGUGAAGCAUAACAAU
This 134-nucleotide small RNA is filed under the name Arabidopsis thaliana (thale cress). RNAcentral describes it as "ATSL153510". The record is from RNAcentral. Lineage: Eukaryota; Viridiplantae; Streptophyta; Magnoliopsida; Brassicales; Brassicaceae.